GGGGUUGUGUCUCAGUGGUAGAGGGCUCGUCUACUAUGUGUGAGGCACUGAGUUCAAUUCUCAGCACCA
RNAcentral lists this transfer RNA (69 nucleotides) under Ictidomys tridecemlineatus (thirteen-lined ground squirrel). RNAcentral describes it as "Spermophilus tridecemlineatus (thirteen-lined ground squirrel) tRNA". It matches the Rfam family "tRNA". From Rfam's summary of the family: Transfer RNA (tRNA) molecules are approximately 80 nucleotides in length. Their secondary structure includes four short double-helical elements and three loops (D, anti-codon, and T loops). The record is from Rfam by way of RNAcentral. Lineage: Eukaryota; Metazoa; Chordata; Mammalia; Rodentia; Sciuridae.